CAGUUCUGGUGUUGUACCUCCAGCCCUGAAAUAUUUCUGCGUUUUGGUUUCUGUCUCGGUGGGUGGGAUGACCCUGGGACCAAAGUCAACUGUGUUUCUUAAGAAAAGUUUCUCUUCGAAAAUCUCCAUGGAACAGUCCUGGAGAAGCUGGAGGAGGACCAGACGGGGUGGAGGAAAGACAGGUCAGCGUGGGAACCAAGGGAGGAGGGGACUUCCCUGGAGGGAUUGGGGGAAGGCAUGGUCACUUCAUGGAAGAGUUUGAGGGACGUGGGGAUUCAUACGGCCAGGGAGGCCCUUGGGCCUGAGCUCUUUCUCGCUGGAGCGCUGCAGUCCCUGCCUGUGGGGCCAAAGACGGGGAGCAAGCCUGAGCCCUGGGGUGGAUCAGAAGACAGCAGGAGCUCUGCAGGUGUUGACGAGGGGACUGGAGCUCUUCCUGCCAGGGUCUCCUUGCCGCUUCUGUGCACUUGUGCAUGGCUCCACAGUGGGGACCUGUUCUAGAAGUGUGUCAUCAGAGGAGGAAACUGAGGCACAGAGAGGACGAGUAAAUUCACAGUGGAACACAGCUCCUAAGUGGAGCUGAGAUUGGAAUCCAGAAGACAGGGCUCCAGAGCCAGUCCCCUUCGCCACCUGGCUACACUGUGGUGUCAUGGCCCCUUCUAUCCCUCACGGAUCAGAGAGGGGAGUUUGUGCAGAGGUAGCUGAGGACCAGAUGCACAAACACAGCCCAGAAGGGCACCCGCACCUGAGCCGUCUGCUCUGGGUGAGAGUCAGCGACGUGUUAGGACCUGCCUGUGUGUCCUGAGCAGAUUCCCAUCCGGGGUGGAUUCCUGGCUUCCUCAUGUGCAGCCCCGUCACACGAGCAAGAGGGAAAUAUUUGUGAGCAUCAAGUGAAAGAAAGAAAGAAAGGAAAAAAAAAAAAGUAAGGCGUGGAACAAAACACGAUUGUGUUCUGGAUGGUUGGGUUUCAAGUAAACGAAACUCGUUCUCUCUCUGAGUGUAGCUCUAGGGACAAAAGCCAGGUCACCUCCCAGCUGCUGGGAACGCCUGCUGGCACUGCAGGGCUCUCGGCCAGUUCUGGUGACGGGACUCACGUCUG
Molecule: long non-coding RNA, 1096 nt
Organism: Marmota flaviventris (yellow-bellied marmot)
Lineage: Eukaryota; Metazoa; Chordata; Mammalia; Rodentia; Sciuridae
Source: RefSeq, a predicted model, not a curated record